CAGAUGGCCCUCAUGGGAAAUAAAACAUAGACCAGUCCUUGUCAGCAGGAAGAGGUAGACGUCCCUGGCUGGCUUUGCAAAGAUCAUGAAAUCAUUCCCUUCACAUCUGCCUUCUUGUAUGCUGUAAUUUUUUAACUCGUAUCUUAAAAGUGUAACUAUUAAAUGUAAAUGCUCCUGGACCCACCACAAGCCAGGAUCACCAAGAGAGCCAGACUAAGACCACACAACCAUGAGGGACCUGGUGGAGACAAUGGCUCUGAUUUGUCAGACAAAUCAGAAAUCUAUCUUUUCCCUAUUCUGCAACAGCGGAAGUGAAUUUCAAGAAUCAAGUCAAAGAAUAAGUGAUCUAAAAGUGUCCGACUGCACUUCUAGUUACUAUCUGAAAUGCACUGGCCUCAAGUUGACUGUCCUCUGGCUUGCACUUAUGGAUGGCUGGCAUCCUAAGACACUUUCUCCAUAAGGGAAACUCAGGAAGUCACACUGCGGAAGGGACGUGGUGAAUUCUCAACUAUCAUAGAAUGUCUGUCUUUCAAAAAUUUCUGACGGGGUAAUUGCCUUGGACGCAGCUUUCCUCAGAGAUGCUGGGGUUGCAGCCCGGGGCACUGAGUUAAGCUGCAUCGCCAUCUAGUGGUCAGAUGAUACGGAGCCCAGAUGCAGCGUUGUGAAUGAGUGGGUGAGGAGGUUUCCGUAAGGUAGAGUUGACAGGAGUGGAGUCACCUUGUCUACUUCUCUUAUUUAUACAUAAGAAAAAUGAACCCAGAAAAAAGAGAAAGAAAUGACCCAAACUUUAUGUUACAAAGGGGUAAUUGCAGAAAUACCAUGCCAUUUAGUUGCUAUUCCCCUCAACAGUGUGCACUAUGGGUUAUA
Long non-coding RNA from Ailuropoda melanoleuca (giant panda), 867 nucleotides. RefSeq lists it as uncharacterized. Lineage: Eukaryota; Metazoa; Chordata; Mammalia; Carnivora; Ursidae. The transcript has 3 exons. The record is from RefSeq and is a predicted model, not a curated record.